Molecule: long non-coding RNA, 462 nt
Filed under: Homo sapiens (human)
Lineage: Eukaryota; Metazoa; Chordata; Mammalia; Primates; Hominidae
Description: HSALNT0165640
Source: RNAcentral
UUACCAGGGUUUGGGGCAGAAGGAACAGAUAAAAGGGACAAUUCUAAGGAAGAUGAUUGAAAGACUGACCCCAAUGUGGAGAGGAUGAUUCCAGCACUACUCGUACUGCACUAGGAUCAGACAACUUGAAAUCUGCCUUUGCUUUUAUUGGGCAAUCUGUUCCAGGGAUCACAGCCCCUACCUGUAACUGUCACCUCUUUUGAGGUACAAUUACAUUCUUUCCUCUCAUCCCAUUGCAAUGUUUCCAUGCUGAGAGGGCUCCAGAGAGAUGUAGGGAAGCUCUGCUAGUCUCUGUGCUGAAGCUCAGUGCCUGGCAUACCUCUGCCUUUGAUGAGGCUCUGGCACAGCCCUGCAUCAUUCUUCAUUUGCCUGCGCAUUAAAGAAUGCCCCUGGUGGUCAUCAGGAGCACUGUAUGAUUAACUCAGCAUUCCUCAUUGUGAAUCAGACAGUCAUUCACCUUAA